Molecule: non-coding RNA, 73 nt
Organism: Pteropus alecto (black flying fox)
Lineage: Eukaryota; Metazoa; Chordata; Mammalia; Chiroptera; Pteropodidae
Source: Rfam
GGUUCCAUAGUGUAGCUGUCAUCACGUCUGCUUUACAUGCAGAAGGUCCUGGGUUCGUGCCCCAGUGGAGCCA